ACACCGCCCAUCUGGAGCUCAAGCCAAACGAUCACUGACACCCACACACUCACACACACCACUACUCGGGCACAAACCCUUGCACUGCCUCCUGUUGCUCAAUUUCUCCCCUAAAGUAUGUCUCGCGCCGUUGACCAUCUCGUGGCGGAGUACCUCGCUGAGGAGCACCCACGCGUAGCGAGGGCUUUGCGGAAGGACGCGCCAUCGACGGCGCCACCGUUGCGCUCCCCCUUCGGCAAGAAGAGCCUGCAAGAAGUCGUGAUGGCGUAUCGUGUGCAGAAGACCACUCCUGCAGCAGUGGGCAACGGCGCCAGCUCCGAAGAUGACGAGGCGCAACGCGCAUCGCAAAAGACUGCGAAGACGUCGUCACCAUCGCCGAUCCCGAAGCCGACAGCAAGGAAGGUGCCGAUCGCUGACAGUGACAGCGAUGACGAGUCGGUGACGAGACCGGCGGCCAAGAAGACGCCGCCGAAGUACGCUCCGAAGAAGGCGGCCGUGUACAGCGACAGUUCCGACGAAGACGAGCCCGUGCCAAAGAACUCGAGUGCUAGUAAGAUGCCUGCGCCUCGUGCAGAGGAUGUGCCGGCGCAGAAGGCGGUGAGGACGGAGUCAGAAGGUGCGGCGCGACGCACGCCUCAUCACCUCAACGAGGACGGCACCUUCCGUCGUUUCCAGCGCAUCGACCCAGCCAAGGUGACGUUCGACGCCGAUGCCUUGCGUGACAACCGCCCAGGUAGGGAGCACCUCGUGCUGCGCCAGAACCAGGAGAUGAUGCGCACCAAGGGCAAAGGCUUCAAUAAGCUGAAGCAGAAGAACAAGGGAAAGUUCUACGGCGCUGGCGUCGACCUCAGCGUGCGCGCCUACCAGUUCCCUGAUAGCGACGACGAUUAGGUGAUUGUGCAGACGUGGGCUUUGGUGCACGACGAAGACGCGGAUGGGCAAGGAAAGAGCAGAGAGAGGAGAGGCUGGCGCGGUGUGAUGCAGCUGCUUUACUUCGCGGCGUCGCUUAGGGUUGCUGCGGUGACGCUGCUCUGUCGCCGUGUAUUCACAGCUUGGAAGUUUUUUAAGCGUCAGAGCGCGUGCGCACUUGCCUAGCUCUGGCUCUCUCCCUCUUGACCGUAUUCGCCUGUGAAAGGGCGUCCUCGUCUUUUGCCCCCCCUCCCCCCAUACGCUUAGACACGUGCACCUGUUGUUCAAGUGGAGCUCCUCCACACCUCUCCCCCUUUUUCCGCCGAUUAACACUUCCCCGACGCUGGUAAGCAUCCCUGUGUGUGAGACAAAACAAAAAGAAACCUUGAUGGAGUGGCGUUGCUGCAAGGCAGGGUCGUGGCGGCACAGCGCGUGCGCUCGCAUCUGUGUAUGUGUCUCGAUACUGAAUAUGCCUGCGUGGGUGGGCGUAUUUAUUACUUGCCUCUUUGGCGGUCAGAGGCGGCGGGGGGCAUGAUUGUCUACUUGCCUCCUUGAUGCUCUCCUGGUAUACUGCGGGCUUGCUCACCAGACAUCGUUUUUGUCUAGCGUGCGUCUGCCGGCUUGCAGCUGCCAUGCUGAUGUGCCACGGACACACCCAGCCACGAUGCAUGCUGUGUGCGGGGACCAACGGCUGCUGCGCUUGCUUUCUCGUCCUUUUUUACCUGUCAUCGCCUUUGCUUGCUGAACGGCCUCGCCUCCGCUCUCUCUCUCUCGCUGUUUGCCUCCAUGAUGUGUCGUUCACUGCCUUUACACGCGCACAUGCGCUCACGUGCACGUCCUACCCCUCUUUCUUCACCUCACUCAUUGCAACCGCUGCCCAAUCUGACCCGUGCGGGUUACGGUGGCCGCGGCAACCAAG
Molecule: unclassified non-coding RNA, 1828 nt
Filed under: Leishmania donovani
Lineage: Eukaryota; Euglenozoa; Kinetoplastea; Trypanosomatida; Trypanosomatidae
Description: gene:LdHU3.10.0160(CDS-product:SRP40_C-inal_domai n_containing_protein_putative)
Source: RNAcentral